Long non-coding RNA from Papaver somniferum (opium poppy), 519 nucleotides. RefSeq lists it as uncharacterized. The record is from RefSeq and is a predicted model, not a curated record. Lineage: Eukaryota; Viridiplantae; Streptophyta; Magnoliopsida; Ranunculales; Papaveraceae. The transcript is spliced from 2 exons.
UUUUAGUACUUGAUCAUAGUAAGAAAAUUCUCAAGAGAGAAAUCGACGAGAGAUUUACAUGAAAAGGAAUUCAACCAAAAGGCUAGAAAAUUCGUACCCAACCUCUAGUUACAUCUGGAAUGAUUGAAGGUGGUGAAUUGUAUACUCUUAUCUACUGAUUUCAUGGAGACUUGGAAGUAAUUAAAGCGGGGUUUUUCUUUGUUCUUGAUUGAUGAUUAAAGUGACAGGUUGCUUUGAUGUAAGUGGUGUUGACGCGGCUGAGGAAGAAAUAGACAUUUGGGUCGAUUAAGUGGUCUUAACUUAUGUUCGUGUGAGGUCGUUGUUGGUCUCACUAGUGUUGUACAAUUCAUGUAUCUUUAUGAAGAUGUUUUCUUUGAGUUUCUUGUUUGUAAGUAAACCCUAUUUUGCUGAAUGUAUGUAUAGUGUGUAUAUAUCACCAAACAAAACACAUGUAAAUUAGAUGGUUAUGUAUAUUAUGAUAAUCCUAGUUUAUGUCUUGGUUCGCCUCGGAUUUGUUUA